This 92-nucleotide microRNA precursor is filed under the name Saimiri boliviensis boliviensis (Bolivian squirrel monkey). Its description in RNAcentral is "miRNA (ENSSBOG00000008927.1)". The record is from RNAcentral. Lineage: Eukaryota; Metazoa; Chordata; Mammalia; Primates; Cebidae.
AGGUAGGAGAUCACUUGAGCCUGGGAGGUUGAGGCUGCAGUGAGCUGUGAUCAUGCCACUGCACUCCAGCCUGAGUGACAGAGUGAGACCUU